Molecule: ribosomal RNA, 789 nt
Filed under: uncultured Staphylococcus sp.
Lineage: Bacteria; Bacillati; Bacillota; Bacilli; Caryophanales; Staphylococcaceae
Description: bacterial SSU rRNA
Rfam family: Bacterial small subunit ribosomal RNA
Source: RNAcentral
CGGCGGACGGGUGAGUAACACGUGGGUAACCUACUAUAAGACUGGGACAACUUCGGGAAACCGGAGCUAAUACCGGAUAAUAUGUUGAACCGCAUGGUUCCAAUAGUGCAAAGAUGGUUUUGCUAUCACUUAUAGAUGGACCCGCGCCGUAUUAGCUAGUUGGUGAGGUAACGGCUCACCAAGGCAACGAUACGUAGCCGACCUGAGAGGGUGAUCGGCCACACUGGAACUGAGACACGGUCCAGACUCCUACGGGAGGCAGCAGUAGGGAAUCUUCCGCAAUGGGCGAAAGCCUGACGGAGCAACGCCGCGUGAGUGAUGAAGGUCUUAGGAUCGUAAAACUCUGUUAUUAGGGAAGAACAAACGUGUAAGUAACUGUGCACGUCUUGACGGUACCUAAUCAGAAAGCCACGGCUAACUACGUGCCAGCAGCCGCGGUAAUACGUAGGUGGCAAGCGUUAUCCGGAAUUAUUGGGCGUAAAGCGCGCGUAGGCGGUUUUUUAAGUCUGAUGUGAAAGCCCACGGCUCAACCUGGAGGGUCAUUGGAAACUGGAAAACUUGAGUGCAGAAGAGGAAAGUGGAAUUCCAUGUGUACGGUGAAAUGCGCAGAGAUUAUGGAGGAACACCAGUGGCGAAGGCGACUUUCUGGUCUGUAACUGACGCUGAUGUGCGAAAGCGUGGGGAUCAAACAGGAUUAGAUACCCUGGUAGUCCACGCCGUAAACGUAUGAGUGCUAAAGUGUUUAGGGGUUUCCGCCCCUUAGUGCUGCAGCUUUACGCAUAAGCACUC